AUCAAGUUUGACUUAAAUGCACUGUACUACAUACAUGAGAGAUGCGAUGGGUUACUGAUACAUCUAGAGACCUAUCUGUAUAAAGGAAAAGGAUUACUUGUUAAAAAUGAUAACUAAGCUAUCUGGGAUCAUGUAAUUUUUAACCUAGAGAAAAAUGGACUGUGUUGUGGUCAUGGUCAUUGCUUUAGGCUUUUGGAUUGGAAAUAAGUUGUGGUGAAAAUAAAUAUGAUAUUUGGAAAGGUCAAGAAGUGAAUGCAG
This 258-nucleotide unclassified non-coding RNA is filed under the name Hevea brasiliensis (rubber tree). The record is from RNAcentral. Lineage: Eukaryota; Viridiplantae; Streptophyta; Magnoliopsida; Malpighiales; Euphorbiaceae.